GUAAUAGUAUAAUUUUUUACGUACAAAAAAACAAACAAAAAACAUAGCAUCUGAUGCGGCCUUUUUGGCCCUAUUUUGGGCUACUGCAAGAUGAUUGUCGUAUUCCGGGUGCGACUGUGGUCCGCAUUCGAGUGGGUGUCUUUCAUUUUCAUGCAAUUUUUAUGUGCGCUCUAUUCGUUAACACCUUUCGUAAAGAUUGCGAAUCCUCCCGCCCAUGCCGAGAAGUUAUUGUUAUCCUUUUGUUUUAGUGUGCAUCUUUUAGAUACAUAUAUAAAUAUACUUUUUUAUGCCGACCUGACACGCUGACUACCCGAAGCUCAUAGCCCUGGCCUCUGCACGCUGCUUUUGCACGCUACACGCAUUGAUUCAUAAUACAUAAAUAAAAAUAUUGCGUAUACGCAGCGAUGCCUGAACAUCCAUUGCCAUAAAUUCUUAUAAACGUGAAACACACACACACACACACACACACAAGCGCACUCACGCAAUGGUCGAGCGUCCAGCCAACAUACACAAAGACGCCAAGUCAUCAAUCUUUUAGCAUUUCACUUAGAUAUACGAGUAUUUCCGCAUCGCCCUCAGGAACAUCGCCAUCCCGCCCUGCCAUUACUUGCCCUUUCCGUUGUCUCGUUUGCAGCCUUACUUUCAAUAUUUGUGCAUAAAUAUUAAUAUUGCAUGGCCAUGUUUAUUUGUUUAUUCGCCAUCGACCACGCCCUUUGAAAGCCGCCCUCCCUCUCGCCAGAGUUUGCAGUGAAUUCUGCGACCACUUUUGCAACAUUUUUUUGCAAGCAGAUUGAAAACUUGUGCUUGAGGAGUAUGUUAGUUAAUCCAAGUCACCUUGGGCUGAACCACGAACAAUCAGUGAAAACCACAUUAAAAUACCACAAAAAGAACAGCAGGCUAUAAAAAUGAGGACACCAAUCGUAAUAUAAAGAGUCCACAGUGGAUAGUCAAUGAAUCGAUUCUCAGACGUCGUGGCUUCGUACUGGAAUAGAUCCCAUUGUCUGACUGGAUUCACACUAGAUAGUGUUUAAUAACUGACGGGUAGACGAUCCAGGCUUCGUAACUUCAGUCUUCGUAAGCUUCAGUUAUGGAAUCUUCCAAUAGUAUAUUGUAUACAACUCUCCUUUAUUCUUAGCCAAUCCAUGGAAAAGGUUUGCCGGCUGGCCUCAGGCAACUGGUUUAUGCAAAUGUCUUGAAAGUAAAAUUAAUAGAUGAUUUCGCCGUAGGGAGAAUAUGGCAUAUAUAUUGGUAUAUGGAAAGUACACCCGCGGCGCAAAUGUUCUCCGUGGACAAAUCACAGCACAUGUUGGCAUUAGCUGCGAAUUAUGGGCAGACAAGUGCAGCAGAAGACGAAGACCGUUGCGGGGAUGGGGGCAGACACAGCGACAGGACGCAGGACAUUGGGACACACUUGAAAAAUACAAACGACACAUUUUAUUGAUGUUAAUUUAAUGCAAGAAAUAAAACAGGCGGCGCUGCAGCCAAAAUAAAAAGAAGCCAGGCCCAGCCAGCCGAGACCGAAAUAAAAGAUUUGCAUAUAAACAGGCGUCGAUACACACACACAAGCACACACUCACACACAUACACACUAACAGUCAGACCAACUACGAGUACAGACAGAGGCAUACGCCAACAUUUGCAUAACAGACGGGCCCCGAAACUGUCAUUGCCAAGGUUUUACAUCCGCUUGCCGCAAUCAUAGUCUGUGUCCUCGAAUGGGGGGCUUGCCGACCCGCCCGUCAAUAAUAUUUAUGGCGUCGACUCAUUCUUAAAAUGUCCGCGCGACAUAUGCAAGUGGAUUGCUCUAUUUUCAAGUGGAUUCCAUUCCAUUAUAAUGCUCUCGUAAGCGGCAAGCGAAUAUAUAGGAAUAUGUAAAACGCCGCCAAAUGCUCGAAAAUUCGCUUGUGCCAACAUUUAUUGGCAUGUGUAAAUAGUCCACAGACACUUAGAGGGGGUCGCUACCCAUUUGCACCCUUCGCAUUAGCAUUUCAAUAUAAUUGUAAAUAUUUGAAUCGAAUGCAAAGCGUCGCCUAUGUACAAAUGUGCU
This is a long non-coding RNA of Drosophila novamexicana, 2047 nucleotides long. RefSeq lists it as uncharacterized. The transcript has 5 exons. Lineage: Eukaryota; Metazoa; Arthropoda; Insecta; Diptera; Drosophilidae. The record is from RefSeq and is a predicted model, not a curated record.